UAAAUACGGCGUGGAUAGAGCACGGAAAAGCUGUGUAUAACACAGACAAGUGGGGUCACCGCUGCCCGUUGGCAUGGGGAGUAGGGGUAAGUGGGCCCAUAACCAUGGGCCUCACCUCAUGAACGGCUCUCAAAGUACUUCCGGGACUAAACACCCCGGGGCGAAACAGAGGCCUCUGCUACCGGACAGAGUCACCGAGUGCCCUGCGGGGUUGGUCUUGUCUGGGUAUCUGGCAGAGCCCAUCCACAAGCGCACGAUGGACUUCAGACCUAUCAGCUAGACGGUAGGGUAUUGGCCUACCGUGGCGAUGACGGGUACAGAGGAUUAGGGUUUGAUCCUGGAGAGGUAGCCUGAGAAAUCGCUCCCACUUCUAAGGAAGGCAGCAGGCGCGUAACGUUCCCAAUGCUAGGACCCCUAGUGAGGACGUAAUGGGACAUAACAAUACCCCUAUUGGAUAGUGGGUAAUUGACAAUGGGGCGGGCAUAAACACCCUGCCGAGAAGCAACUGGAGGACAAGUCCGGUGCCAGCACCCGCGGUAAUUCCGGCUCCAGUAGUGUAUAGUUAAGUUGCUGCGGUUAAAACGCUCGUAGUCAAACAUCUGGAGUUAGCGCCUCGUCAGGGCCCGGGCGGGAUCAGGCUGCCCUGCUGCGUUUCAGGCGCGCGCUUGACUGGGGGAGAACGUGGGUUUCACUUUUCCCCACGCCCUGGAGCGGCGACGUGCUAUUUACACAUGUCUCGCGGCGGAGGAGAGGCCAUGAACCCAUCACCCGGGUUUCUGCUGGGGAUUUACCCCUGGGUGCGCUCCACGGAUCAGUAGUCGCUCGACUGCGGGGCGGCGGGCUGCAGUCCAUUCCCUCGCCCCACUACCAACGGUGAACGCUAGGAACGCCUGGUACUAAGUGUGGGGAACUCUGGGGGCGUGAUGCACGGGCCCAAAGUCCGGGUUCAGCGACUAGGUGGGCAGGCCAUCGACCGGAAACCGACUCGCCCUCCUCAUCGUGGGCAGAAGGGGACCGGGAGCGGUGCCAAGUGCCUAGAGCCCAUCGGUCCAGAAACUUUGAGCAAACUCAAACGCUUCAGGUGCGCCCGUAAUGGGUCGCUCCAGACAGUAGCAAAGUAUUUCAGAUGCCGUGGGGUUGGGAGUAGCUCCCGGGCACUCCCCCCCAUUAUGCCCUUCUUGGCACAAAGCCGAGACAGGUGGCGACUGUACGGGAUGUGGUGCGUAGAUUAAUGGGGGUAACCGGGGCCGGCCACAUGGCGGGGGUAGAGGUGAAAUUCGUUGAUCCUCGCUAGGUGAACAAAGGCGAAAGCAGCCGGCCAGAGUACUUUCCUUGAUCAAGAACGAAAGCCUGGGGAGCGAAUGUGAUCAGAUACCACAGUAGUCCAGGCCUUAAACGUUGCCAGCUGGAGACGGGCCUAGGUCAGUGCAGACUUGGCCCGGAUCCUGCGGGAAACCAAAGCGUAUGGGCUCCGGGGGGAGUAUGGUCGCAAGGCUGAAACUUAAAGGCAUUGACGGAAGAGCACACAAGGAGUGGAGCCUGCGGCUUAAAUUGACUCAACACGGGGAAUCUCACGGACGCACAAAUAGGUAAUGAAGGACAGUUUGCAGGGCUUUCUGGAUCUGCCUAUAACGGUGGUGCAUGGCCGUUCGUAGUUCGUGGAUUGGUCCGUCUGGUUAAUUCCGAUAACGAGCGAGAACCCGGCUUCCAUGUUAGGGACUAAUUGGGCUGGCGGGGGGCAGCUGUGCCGGUCACGGUCCUGAGCGGUGGGGGGGCAAGGCUUCGCGGCCCCAGAACCCCGCCCCAAGGGGUCGGCGUCUGGCACAGUAGCACAAGGGGUCCGGCCAUUUUCUAUUUGGGUUUUGGCCGGGCUUUCUAACGGUGCCCCUUGCUGCGUGCAUGAGGGGCUUGGUGGGGGAAACUCUUUCUCGCGGGGGAGCGGACUUCACUGGGCUGGGCGUGCUAGUGUAUGACCAAAAUUCCCCAUAACAUAGGGCAAUCCCUGCCGAUGAGGCACAGGGAUGGGUCAAUAACAGGUCAGUAAUGCCCCUAGAUGCGGUCCGGCUGCACGCGCGCUACAAUGGGGGGAGUCAAACCUGUGCGACCGAGAGGUCCCGUUAUUACAUGGGUGAAACCCCUCCUCGACUGGGAUUGUACCGUGUAAAGCCGGCCACUAACAAGGAAUUUCUAGUAUCCGCUGGUCACAACCCAGCAGAGAUUUCGUUACUGCUCUUUGUGCACACCGCCCGUCGCUCCUACCGAUUGGGCUGCGGCUUGAACUGCUUGGGAAUGCCGGUCCAUGCCCCCCAGCUCUCACGGGCUGGCCCUGCACCCGGUCCCACCUCGCACCCAACAAGUAGGUCCUCUCAUGUUCCCGGUGAGCCACCCUCUGGCCCGGGUUUUUCGAUCUGAUACCUCGGGGUCUCUUAUAGCAAAGUUCCGGCACCUGGUGCCGAUCUCGCUGAGACAAACGUGGUCCCUGAGAUAGGAGGCAUGAUGACUGAACUUGGCUGGUCCAUGUGCCUGUGCUCUGUGCCACACGGUUAACAAUGUUAAUACGCGGCAAUGGGCAACUGUGCACCUGCGAUUUGGUCUGUUGCGAGGGGUUUAUGACCGGGUUGGUUUGUUCCCACAAACACAGGGAUGGACUUUCUCAGGGCAGUAAAGGCCUCGGUCUA
RNAcentral lists this ribosomal RNA (2678 nucleotides) under Lycogala epidendrum. RNAcentral's name for it is "partial 18S ribosomal RNA". The stretch from base 1 to 2317 matches the Rfam family "Eukaryotic small subunit ribosomal RNA". Lineage: Eukaryota; Evosea; Eumycetozoa; Liceales; Enteridiidae. The record is from RNAcentral.